Molecule: long non-coding RNA, 1122 nt
Organism: Mus caroli (Ryukyu mouse)
Lineage: Eukaryota; Metazoa; Chordata; Mammalia; Rodentia; Muridae
Source: RefSeq, a predicted model, not a curated record
AGGGAACUCAGAGAUUUGUCUGCCUCCGGAGUGCUGGGAUUGCAAGUGUGUGAUUUCACUCCACUGCACCACUCGGGUAGGGGGCAAGUCAGCAGCAGCAAGGAUCAUGGACGUCCACAUGGUUUCUGGCUACAGCACGGGCCGCCGACAGACCAUGGACAUUCCCAAGGCCUUUGGUGGUAACAAGGACCAUGGGCAUCAACCCCAGGGGCAGCACAGCUCACUGUCACCAACAUGGCUUCAGGCAGCAGCUCAGAUCUCCACACCCACCUGGCCUUCAGUGGUUACUCUCGCAACUGGCAAUUUCUUAAAGAGACAAGUCUCUUAUGUAGUGAGAACUCAAACUGGGUGGCCUCAAAUCCACAGAAAACCACUUGCCUCUGACUCCCAAGUGUUGGGAUUAAAGGGCCAGAACAAACAAGGAACCAAGGAAGUGAUUGGGUCCUGUGGAUCGCGUUAUGGAACCUCUAAGGGCUGUACUUGUCCAGGCCAGCCUUCACAUCCUAUCUCACCUCACCGGACCCUUUUCCACCACGAGGGGGGAAUCUGUUUUCUUUGGGCAGUCUCUCCUCCAGCCUCUCCACAUGUGAUGUCCUGAGCAGAACAGAUGAACAGUGUGGAGUGGCCCUAGAAAGAAGUGAUGUGUUCUGAGAUGUGUGGACUAGGAUCCACGGGUGUCUCUAGGUGCAGGCCCCCCUCUGUAGAAGGCACCUGAUAGCUGGUGCUAAUCCUAUAUAAAUCUCUAUUGGCUUCCUGGAAAGAUGGCCUUUGGACAUAGCUCGGGCUCCUGGAAUUCAUUAUAGAGCACAAGCCAACACUGAAGUCAAAGCAAUCCCCCAGUUUUUGUCACCAAUCUUGCUUUAGAUGGGCUUUGUUGUUACCUGUUUGUUUGUUUCUGAGACAGGGUUUCUCUGUAGAGGAGGUUUCAAACUCAGAGAUCCUCCUGCCUUGGGAUUAAAGGUAUGUCUGGACUUAAGGUGAGUCCUCUGAUGGUGUGUCAAGUCCUCUUACCUGCUGAGUGGCUCUGGAGUCAUCUUUGCCUCAACACAUUGUCUCAAAGCUCAAUACUUCGAAGUCACUUUAAAAGUAGAUGGUUUGUAUCACUGAAUAAAUUCACCAGAU